This 473-nucleotide ribosomal RNA is filed under the name uncultured Anaerolineaceae bacterium. RNAcentral's name for it is "bacterial SSU rRNA". It matches the Rfam family "Bacterial small subunit ribosomal RNA", at positions 897 to 1382 of the family's 1533-position model. The record is from RNAcentral. Lineage: Bacteria; Bacillati; Chloroflexota; Anaerolineae; Anaerolineales; Anaerolineaceae.
AAACUCAAAGGAAUUGACGGGUCCCCGCACAAGCAGCGGAGCGUGUGGUUUAAUUCGUUGCUACACGAAGAACCUUACCUGGGUUUGACAUAGCAGUGGUAGGGAAGCGAAAGCGGACCGACCCUUCGGGGAGCUGUUACAGGUGUUGCACGGCUGUCGUCAGCUCGUGUCGUGAGAUGUUCGGUUAAGUCCGCUAACGAGCGCAACCCGCGUUGUGUGUUACAAGUGUCACACAAUACCGCCGGUAUUAAGUCGGAGGAAGGUGCGGAUGACGUCAAGUCAGCAUGACCUUUAUAUCCAGGGCUACACACACGCUACAAUGGUCGGCACAAUAGGUUGCCAAGUCGCGAGACGGAGCCAAUCCUCCAAAGCCGGCCUCAGUUCAGAUUGCAGGCUGCAACUCGCCUGCAUGAAGUUGGAGUUGCUAGUAAACGCAGGUCAGCUAUACUGCGUUGAAUACGUUCCCGGGGAUU